This is a small nucleolar RNA of Ochotona princeps (American pika), 72 nucleotides long. NCBI's taxonomy places the organism in Eukaryota, Metazoa, Chordata, Mammalia, Lagomorpha, Ochotonidae. The record is from Ensembl.
UGAGCCAAUAACAAGAGUGUGAUAGGAACCAAGGGUUAUGAUUAAUCUAAUCCCUUAUGACUCAAGUCCAUU